RNAcentral lists this ribosomal RNA (1222 nucleotides) under Cyclolejeunea peruviana. RNAcentral describes it as "eukaryotic LSU rRNA". The stretch from base 577 to 729 matches the Rfam family "5.8S ribosomal RNA". Lineage: Eukaryota; Viridiplantae; Streptophyta; Jungermanniopsida; Porellales; Lejeuneaceae. The record is from RNAcentral.
CCGUCGCUCCUACCGAUUGAAUGGUCCGGUGAAGUUUUCGGAUCGCGGCGACGCCGGCGGUUCGCCGCCGGUGUUGUUGUGAGAAGUUCAUUAAACCUUAUCAUUUAGAGGAAGGAGAAGUCGUAACAAGGUUUCCGUAGGUGAACCUGCGGAAGGAUCAUUGAACACACGAUCUAUGAAAAACUCUGCGAAUCGUUCUGUACAAAGAGGGAUCGUGCCCGGAGGCACGAUCGUCGGUGCCCGAGUCGAGAUUCAUGUGCGUCAGCCUUGAUCGUCCCGUUUGGUGCGCGGCGGGAUCGAGUGGCUCGGGUUUCACCGUCGGAUCGCCCCAGACGCGCAUGGUUCCGAAUUCCCGUCCCGGGGUUCGGAGUCGGGAGUGUGUCCCCUCCUCCGACGGAGGGGGAGUCCCGCGGGACUCGACUGCCUCAGGCAGGACGGGCUCUCGCCGGAUGACUCCCUCUCGGUUGGUGCCCAUUUUUUCCCAAGCAACCCCGGUGAAACUUAAGAUGAUAUGAUUGAUGGGAGUUUGGGAGUGCUACGUCGCUCCCGAGCUCCCACGAAAACGAGAACACAAAUGACUCUCAGCAACGGAUAUCUUGGCUCUUGCAACGAUGAAGAACGCAGCGAAAUGCGAUACCUAGUGUGAAUUGCAGAAUUCCGCGAAUCAUCGAGUUUUUGAACGCAAGUUGCGCCCGAGGCUCGUCUGAGGGCAUGCCUGCCUGAGCGUCCGCCUCCGACCCACCCCACAAGCCCUGUUCUCCACUGAAAGGGGGAAGGCAGGGACGCGUGCGAGUGGAACUGGUCGUCCGAGGACUCGCUCGACCCCUUCGGGGGACGAUGGUAGGAUCAUCGGUCGGCUGAAAACGUGAGCCGUCCGUCAAAACGCACGCUGGGACAACGGUGCGUCGCGAGAAGGUGUCGUCCGUCUCCAGUCGUUCUCGACGGGAGACGGAUGUUGUUUUAGAGCGACGUGCCCCCCGGCGGAGUCGAGCUUUGGCGGUUCGGUGGAAAACUUAGAACAUGGGGAGCGGGAAAGGUCUGGGCACCCCGCCAACCCUCUCGAAAGGGAGGGAAACGCGAGAGAUGCCCGAGUCCGAACGCAACGUUGCUCGGACCUCAGAUCAGGCAAGACCACCCGCUGAGUUUAAGCAUAUCACUAAGCGGAGGAAAAGAAACUAACAAGGAUUUCCUUAGUAACGGCGAGCGAACCGGAAGUAGCCCA